This 364-nucleotide ribosomal RNA is filed under the name Wolbachia pipientis. RNAcentral describes it as "bacterial SSU rRNA". It matches the Rfam family "Bacterial small subunit ribosomal RNA", at positions 1050 to 1413 of the family's 1533-position model. The record is from RNAcentral. Lineage: Bacteria; Pseudomonadati; Pseudomonadota; Alphaproteobacteria; Rickettsiales; Anaplasmataceae.
UGUCGUCAGCUCGUGUCGUGAGAUGUUGGGUUAAGUCCCGCAACGAGCGCAACCCUCAUCCUUAGUUACCAUCAGGUAAUGCUGGGGACUUUAAGGAAACUGCCAGUGAUAAACUGGAGGAAGGUGGGGAUGAUGUCAAGUCAUCAUGGCCCUUAUGGAGUGGGCUACACACGUGCUACAAUGGUGGCUACAAUGGGCUGCAAAGCCGCGAGGCUAAGCCAAUCCCUUAAAAACCAUCUCAGUUCAGAUUGUACUCUGCAACUCGAGUGCAUGAAGUUGGAAUCGCUAGUAAUCGUGGAUCAGCACGCCACGGUGAAUACGUUCUCGGGUCUUGUACACACUGCCCGUCACGCCAUGGGAAUUG